AAUUUGGAAGCCCAAGGUGGGUGGAUCGCUUGAGCCCAGGAGUUCAAGACCAGCCUGGGCAACAUGAUGCUGAAGAAUACCAGCCUCCAAUAUGGAAAUCAUACUUAUAUCAGUUACAGCAAGAGGCACCUCGUCCCAAGAGAAUCAUUUGUCCUCGGGAGAAAUUUAACAGCAGCAUUAGUUUUGCCUUGAUUUGAUUUGAUUCUAUUGGGUACUUCAAGCUCUUUGGGCUUAAAAGGUGGAAAACAGACCAAAAUAUUAUGGAAGAGAGUUUCACGGGAUCAUCUCCCGGGAGCAGGCGGAUGAGCUUCUUGGAGGCGUGGAGGGUGCCUACAUCCUUAGAGAAAGCCAGCGGCAACCAGGAUGCUACACGCUGGCUCUGAGGUUUGGAAACCAGACCUUAAACUACAGGCUCUUCCAUGACGGGAAACACUUUGUGGGUGAGAAGAGGUUUGAGUC
RNAcentral lists this small RNA (459 nucleotides) under Pongo abelii (Sumatran orangutan). RNAcentral describes it as "processed transcript". The record is from RNAcentral. Lineage: Eukaryota; Metazoa; Chordata; Mammalia; Primates; Hominidae.